UAGGGAAUUUUCGGCAAUGGGGGAAACCCUGACCGAGCAACGCCGCGUGAGUGAAGAAGGUCUUCGGAUUGUAAAGCUCUGUUGUAAGGGAAGAAAUGUACUGUGAGAAACAGUACUUGACGGUACCUUACCAGAAAGCUACGGCUAACUACGUGCCAGCAGCCGCGGUAAUACGUAGGUAGCGAGCGUUAUCCGGAAUUAUUGGGCGUAAAGGGUGCGUAGGCGGCCAUUUAAGUUCAUGGUGAAAGCGUGGGGCUCAACCCCAUAAAGCCAUGGAUACUGGAUGGCUGGAGUACUGGAGAGGGUAGUGGAAUUCCAUGUGUAGCGGUAAAAUGCGUAGAUAUAUGGAGGAACACCGGUGGCGAAGGCGGCUACCUGGACAGAGACUGACGCUGAGGCACGAAAGCGUGGGGAGCAAAUAGG
Molecule: ribosomal RNA, 423 nt
Filed under: uncultured bacterium
Lineage: Bacteria
Also listed under: 1 other name
Description: bacterial SSU rRNA
Rfam family: Bacterial small subunit ribosomal RNA
Source: RNAcentral